RNAcentral lists this ribosomal RNA (253 nucleotides) under uncultured bacterium. RNAcentral describes it as "partial 16S ribosomal RNA". It matches the Rfam family "Bacterial small subunit ribosomal RNA", at positions 524 to 776 of the family's 1533-position model. The record is from RNAcentral.
GACGAACCGUGCGAACGGUGUUCGGAAUCACUGGGCUUAAAGGGCGCGUAGGCGGGUUCCCAAGUCCGGUGUGAAAUCUUUCGGCUCAACCGGGAAAUAGCCUUGGAUACUGGGAUGCUGGAGGGAGGUAGGGGCGGCGGGAACUUCCGGUGGAGCGGUGAAAUGCGUUGAUAUCGGAAGGAACGCCGGUGGCGAAAGCGGGCUGCUGGUCCUCUGCUGACGCUGAGGCGCGAAAGCCAGGGGAGCAAACGGG